GUUAGCUGACGUAAGUCGUCAUUGCCCGCGACGUGUCUUCUCAUUGGCCGCAGAGAGGCGGAGAAAUGAAGUCGGAAAACAGAUUCAAACCAUGCUUGAAGAUUUGUUUCCGUUUGUUAGUACUAUGAGAAAACGUCGUUAUCGAGGUCUGGAUGCUAAACUCUGUCGAACAUGAGUGAAACUGGACGUUAUACACACUUGUGGCAUGAAGGUGUCACCACUUUGUCCGCGACAUCAUCCAUGAUUGCAGAGACGUCAUCCACGAUCACAGAGAUAUGGUCCAUGAUUGGAGACACAUUGUCGAGGAUGAGGAAGACAUCGUCCACGAUCAGAGACAUUGUUCAUGACUCACAAAGAUGUGCAAAACCAGGACUGAGUCUGCCAGGUGUCACCACUUUAUCCACAACAUCGAUGAUCGCAGAGACAUGGUCCAUGAUCGGAGAGACCUUGUUGAGGAUGAGGGAGACAUCGUCCUCGAUCAGAGACAUUGUCCACGAUCGCAGAGACCUUGUCAAAGACGAGAGAGAUGUUGUCCAUGAUCAGAGACAUUGUCCCGUACUUCGUAGAGACCUUGCGAUAGAAUCGGCGGAGACGGGGGUCACCGAUUUGACGGCAUUGCCCGCGAUCACGGAGACAUUGUCGAUGAUCACAGAGACGCCGUCUAUGAUCUCAGAGACAUCGUCCACGAUCGCAAAGACACUGGUCAUGAUCACAGAGACUUUGUCCAUAAUCUCAGAGACAUUGUCCGCGAUCACAGAGGCGUAGUCCACGAUCAGAGUGUCUUUGUACAAUGAAGAAAUUCUUUGAGACCAGGACAGAGGCCUCCAGGUGUCACCACUUCAUCCACAACAUCAUCCACGAUCACAGAGACAUGGUCCAUGAUCGGAGAGACAUUGUUGAGGAUGAGGGAGACAUCGUCCUCGAUCAGAGACAUUGUCCACGAUCACAGAGACCUUGUCAAAGAUGAGAGAGACGUUGUCCAUGAUCUGAGACAUUGUCCCAUGCUUCGUAGAGACCUUGCGAUAGAAUCGGCGGAGACGGGGGUCACCGAUUUGACGGCAUUGCCCGCGAUCAUGGAGACAUUGUUGAUGGUCACAGAGACACCGUCUAUGAUCUCAGAGACAUCGUCCACGAUCGCAAAGACAUUGGCCACGAUCACAGAGACUUUGUCCAUAAUCUCAGAGACUUUGUCCACGAUCACAGGGACGUAGUCCACGAUCACAGAGUGUCUUUGUACAAUGAAGAAAUUCUUUGAGACCAGGACAGAGGCCUCCAGGUGUCACCACUUUGUCCACGAUCGCAGAGACGUCAUCCAUGAUCACAGAGACGUGGUCUGUGAACGGAGAGACAUUGUCGAGGAUGAGGGAGACAUCGUCCUCGAUCAGAUACAUUGUCUAUGAUCGCAGAGACCUUGUCAAAGAUGAGAGAGACGUUGUCCUUGAUCAGAGACAUUGUCCCAUGCUUCGUAGAGACCUUGCGAUAGAAUCGGCGGAGACGGGGGUCACCGAUUUGACGGCACUGCCCGCGAUCAUGGAGACAUUGUUGAUGGUCACAGAGACACCGUCUAUGAUCUCAGAGACAUCGCCCACGAUCACAAAGACAUUGUCCAUGAUCACAGAGACUUUGUCCAUAAUCUCAGAGACAUUGUCCGCGUUCGCAGAGAGUCUUUGCACAAUGAAGAUGUUCUUUGAGACCAGGACAGAGGCCUCCAGGUGUCACCACUUUGUCCACAACAUUAUUCACGAUCGCCAAGACGUCGUCUGCAAUCACAGAGACAUGGUCCAUGAUUGAAGAGACAUGCAACAAUUGCAGUGACAGAGUUCCUCAUAUAAUGAAGGAAUUCAGGACUGACGCCUCCAGAUGAAUCCACAGAAACAACAGGAUCCACCAACAUGGUGAUGGAGAAGACAACAGCAGCUGAAGACCUGAAGUGGAUGAACGAAAACAAGUCAGAAGGGUUAGGAAGCUCUUAAUUAGAUAAAAGACCUCUUCCACCAUCUAACUGCUGUAAACAGUGUUAGUUUCUUGUCAUUCAAGUGAAAAUACUUUGUUGUUUGUUCUACCAUCUGUAAUGUAGUCAUGGGCACAUUUUCCAAAGACUAACAUGUCUUUAUUGAACACCUGUGAGAACAUUCAACUGCUCAUGAUACAACAAUUUAACCAAUAAUUGAAUCAUGAGCAGUUAAAUGAUCACAAAGAUGCUUAGUAGACAUGUUCAUCUUUGAAAAAUGUGCUCAUAUCUACAUUAACCCUAACCAGCUCUAACAAGUGUUUGUUUGGGGUCAAAUCUGUCAUCAUCUUUGCUGUGAUUUGUUAAAUGUUGACUGGAAUAAAAUCAAUCAUCAAGUGUCUUCCUAAACUUUUGAGUUGCAUUUCUCUAUUUUGAGACUGAUGUUAUACAAACCAUUUUGUUGCAUUUUAUUUUUUAAAAAUGUCAUGAUUUAGACCUAUUGUAAAACAUUUUUAAAAUAUAUUUUAAAAGUUGUACACUCAUUGUUCACAUUAUUUGACACCUUACUAUACUAUAGCAUUUUUUUUAUGUUUUUUGAUGCUUUAUUAUGCUAAGACUUCUUUUGAUGAUUUUUGACAGUAUCUUACGCCUUACUAUACUAUGACGUUUUUUCACAUUUUUAAGCCUUACACACUAUGAUGUUUUUGAUGCUUUGUUAUAACAUGAUAUUUUAACUACCAUUUUCAAUUACAUUUACUUUUGUAUUGUUUCAGAUUACUUUUAUAUUACAAAUUAUUUUUCUUAUUACACAUUACUUCUAAAUUAACAGAUUAUUUAUAUAAUAUUUUUCUAUUGCAGAUUACUUCUAUUGUUACACUUCUUGAUAUACUGAAUAAACAAUUUAAUGUCAGUGCUCUGUGUUGGACAGUUGAUGUAAAGCUGUUUGUGAAUUACCUGGAGGCCUCAGUCCUGGUCUCAAAGAACUUCAUCGAUACUCCGUGAUUGUGGACAACAUCUCUGCGAUUGUGGAGUACGUCUCUGCUGAACCACAACAUAUAACAAACAUUAGAGGCUGUUUCAGAAAAUGAACAGUUGACUGUCAUCACCUCCUGAAGAACCAACAACAAAUAUUUGUGAAAAAGUAAAAUGAUUAUUAAUUGUGUGUCUAUCAACUUAUGUAUGUUACUGUGAACUGCACAACAAUAAUAAACACUAUUAAGUAAAUUUUUGAA
This is a long non-coding RNA of Lates calcarifer (barramundi perch), 3183 nucleotides long. RefSeq lists it as uncharacterized. The transcript is spliced from 8 exons. NCBI's taxonomy places the organism in Eukaryota, Metazoa, Chordata, Actinopteri, Centropomidae. The record is from RefSeq and is a predicted model, not a curated record.